Molecule: ribosomal RNA, 445 nt
Filed under: uncultured bacterium
Lineage: Bacteria
Description: bacterial SSU rRNA
Rfam family: Bacterial small subunit ribosomal RNA
Source: RNAcentral
GUAAGGAAUAUUGGUCAAUGGACGGAAGUCUGAACCAGCCAUGCCGCGUGAAGGAUGAAGGUCCUCUGGAUUGUAAACUUCUUUUAUCUGGGGCGAAAACCGGCUUAUCUAAGCCAUUUGACAGUACCAGAAGAAUAAGCACCGGCUAACUCCGUGCCAGCAGCCGCGGUAAUACGGAGGGUGCAAGCGUUAUCCGGAUUCACUGGGUUUAAAGGGUGCGCAGGCGGAUUUGUAAGUCAGAGGUGAAAUCUGUAGGCUUAACCUACAAACUGCCUUUGAUACUAUAGAUCUUGAAUGUCGCUGAGGUCAGCGGAAUAUAACAUGUAGCGGUGAAAUGCAUAGAUAUGUUAUAGAACACCGAUUGCGAAGGCAGCUGACUAAAGGACGAUUGACGCUGAGGCACGAAAGCGUGGGUAGCGAACAGGAUUAGAAACCCUAGUAGUCC